Molecule: small nuclear RNA, 107 nt
Filed under: Prolemur simus (greater bamboo lemur)
Lineage: Eukaryota; Metazoa; Chordata; Mammalia; Primates; Lemuridae
Source: RNAcentral
GCACUUGCUUUGGCAGUACAUAUACUAAAAUUGGGAUGAUACAGAGAAGAUUAGCAUGGCCCCUGUGCAAGGAUGACACACAAAUUCGUGACGCAUUCCAUAUUUUU